This 425-nucleotide long non-coding RNA is filed under the name Medicago truncatula (barrel medic). RNAcentral's name for it is "long non-coding RNA (MTRU_LNC006645)". Lineage: Eukaryota; Viridiplantae; Streptophyta; Magnoliopsida; Fabales; Fabaceae. The record is from RNAcentral.
AAAGAUUCAAGGGGAUCGAAACUUCAGACAUAGCAAAGGCAAAUUCUCGAAGUAGAAGUUCAAUGGAUUGCAUGGAAGCUUGAGAUUUGAAGAUCUUGGUGAUCAUACUUUGUAAACAUUUUUCAUCAUAGUGGAAAACCAUGAUAGAGACGUUUUCUAUCACGAAGAAAGGACGUACCCCGAAGCGAGGACGGGAGGGGGAACCUCUAUAAAUCUCAGUGUUCUUCUCUUCCAUAUCCUUUUAAUUUUUGCAUUAUAAUUGUAUCUGAAUUCAUUGUGUGAAGUUUUUUUUAUUUGAUUGUGAUUUCACUAUUUUACAUUACCUAAUCUCGAUUACUUCAAUUGAGAUUCUUUUAAUUCAAUUAUCUCACAAUCGAAGUUGAAAGUAAGCUUUAAACAAUUGAUUCAUAUACCGUGUGUCCAUU